Molecule: long non-coding RNA, 209 nt
Organism: Brassica oleracea var. oleracea
Lineage: Eukaryota; Viridiplantae; Streptophyta; Magnoliopsida; Brassicales; Brassicaceae
Exons: 3
Source: RefSeq, a predicted model, not a curated record
CGAACCGGGGAGCUCUGGCACCGGAGUCCUACCGUGAUGAAAGGUUAUUUCAAGAACGAGGAAGCUACUGCAUCUACUAUUGAUUCAGAAGGAUAGUUGAAGACCGGAGAUUUGUGUUACAUUGACGGUGAAGGUUUUGUCUUUGUUGUUGAUAGAUUAAAGGAGCUUAUCAAAUGCAAUGGUUAUCAGGUUGCUCCAGCUGAGCUUGA